GAUUGUUUUGCCUCCAUAAUGCUCACCAACCUUCUUUCUCCUUAGCCUAUAAUUAUGGAUGGAUGCUUGAGGGAAAGAGGAGAUUUUGGAGAGAUAAAGGAGAUUUUGGUGGUGUGAGCUUGAGUAACGAGUCUGUUCUUACCAGAGUUGAGGAAAAAUAAUUAAGGCAAGUUUUCUUCUUAGUUUUUGUAAGUUCUUCCUCCUCUUUGUUUCAUUUAAGAGGCAAGAUCUCAGUUUUCUUAUUAAUAUGCAAGUUCAGUUUCUCCCUCUUCUCAAGUUCAUGUUUUUAAUUUGCAAGUUCUUAUUCCUAUUAAGGCAAUUUCUUCUUCCUCUUUAUUCCACUUAAGAGGCAAGAUCUCAGUCUUUCUAUUAAUGAGUAAGUUCUUAUCCCUAUCUUGCAUGCUAUUUUCUUAUUUUAUAAGUUAUUUCCCUUUGUUAGUAAAUUAUUUUAGGAUUUACAUUUAUACCUAUUAAAUUUCAAAUAGGGUUUUGUGUCACCCUAUCUUUUUUUGGAAAUGAUGCUUUAUUGUGGACAUGCAAGGGUUUGAUGUUGUCUUACAUGAAUGUUGCCCUAUUGUGCAUAUUGCUUCAUUAAUUGCAUGUUAGUUAUAUAUGAGAAGUUAUUAUGAAUAUACAUGUUAUGAUAAUGCAUGAAGCAUAUAUAUGAAAAUGAUUUUUAAAAAUAUGUAAAGACCUCAUGAUGCACGUAGCGGACGAGUCCGCAGGAUAUAUCUGCAAAGAAAGUGUUGAGCUCAAAGUUGGACUUCGGUCCCAAGUUUACGUUAUGGACUUCGGUCCCAAGUUUAUGUUAUGGACUUUGGUCCCCAAGGUUUCGGACUUCAAUCCCAUGCUUAUAGUUCUAAAAAGUACUGCAUAUGAGCAUGGAUACAGGUAUCAUCAUUUUAUCAUGUGAAAGUAUCUUAAAUGGCAUUUAUGUCUCUUUUGUUUCUUGAUACCCAUAACUCUUAUGCUCGCUUUCUUCCAGUUAUACUUGCUGGGUCUUGUGGCUCGUGUUUGCUUGCAUCAUUCUAGGUUGUACCCCUAAAGGGAUAUAGUGAGUUUAUGAACCCUGAUGCUAUCGCCACCACUUGUCGCUCGCGAUGCUUGCAUCAUCGUUGUCUUCGUUUCAACCGUCGCCGUCGGCACUUGCUCUAGUUGCGGCCAUGCUCAUUGUUGGCUUAACAUGGCAUCAUCUAUUGUUUCUUCCUCUUUUAGCUUUUUGGUUUACACAUUUUCUUUUCAAGGGAAAAGCUUUCUCCAGAAGCUCUCAUAAUAAUAAUAUAAUAUAUAUACAUGUACAUAUUUAUGUAAUAUAACACGCAUAGACAUCUUUUCCUCCUAGCUUCCUUGAGAAGCUUUAUAAUGCCUCUUGAUUUUAUUUUUUAAUUUUCUUUUUUUGCCAAGCAUCCUCACAAAGCUUCUUCAUACAACACGUAUAUAGAUAUAAAGAGAGAGAUUUCUCUUCCUUU
This is a long non-coding RNA of Diospyros lotus (date-plum), 1469 nucleotides long. RefSeq lists it as uncharacterized. The transcript is spliced from 2 exons. The record is from RefSeq and is a predicted model, not a curated record. Lineage: Eukaryota; Viridiplantae; Streptophyta; Magnoliopsida; Ericales; Ebenaceae.